RNAcentral lists this long non-coding RNA (264 nucleotides) under Capsicum annuum. Its description in RNAcentral is "long non-coding RNA (CANN_LNC005855)". The record is from RNAcentral. Lineage: Eukaryota; Viridiplantae; Streptophyta; Magnoliopsida; Solanales; Solanaceae.
UUUCCUUUCCUUGCACGUAUGCUUCACUUCGUGAUAUCUUCAAUCUCUACUUUGCUCUAUUUACUUACUGCUUUAUAGUGUUAUACAUUCGAUGGCAUAGAAUUUUGGGAUUUUAUAUAUGCGUGUUGAGUGUUGUAUUACUUUAAAGUUUAUAAUUGUGAUCUACAAAACUCGGUUGUGCUGCUGAGAUAUUUGAUAUUCUGCUUUAGUGUUUUAUUUUGUUUCAUCUCAUUUUAAUUUUGUUUUGACUAUUUUUGUGUUUUA